This 511-nucleotide long non-coding RNA is filed under the name Ananas comosus (pineapple). RNAcentral's name for it is "long non-coding RNA (ACOM_LNC034370)". Lineage: Eukaryota; Viridiplantae; Streptophyta; Magnoliopsida; Poales; Bromeliaceae. The record is from RNAcentral.
GUUUGGCGGAAUAGCGGGGAUAAGCUUAUCCCGCGAUCCAAACGGGGCCUAAGAUUAUAAAUAUAAAUGUUAUUAUUAUAUAUAGUUUAUUUAUGGGAUAAUUUUCUAUAUACCCCUCAUGCAUCUGAAAAUAUCCGAUCUAUCCCUAUUCUUUUUUUUCUUUCUAAAAUGUCCCUCAUAUGUUCCACCGUUAUUCAAAAAUACCCUCGCAGUUAUCCCAUGUUAGCUUAACUCGAGUUAAACAUGGGUUAAAUGUAUACUAGAGUUAAAACCUAUAUAAAAUACCUAUUUUACUCCUAUCUUAUUAUGCUAAUCCCUUAAGUUAUUCUCUUUCUCUCCUAACUUGAUCGCCGGCUCCUCCGCCUCCACCUUGCCGGCUCCGCCGUCUCCACCUCGCCUCAUCUCCGCCCAUACCACCACCACUUCCCACACCUCCACCUCCAACACCACCCCUUUCGUCGCUCUGGUCGUUCUCCUCCUCCGCCGCUUUCGUCGUCAAGAGGGUCGCAGC